GGCAAAAGAAGUGCACCAGAAAGCAUUGUCAAAAGAUGCCUCAGACAACUGUAUUAGGUAUGAUAACCUGUUGAUCAGGUUUUCCCCUGACACAGUGAUGCAUUAAUCUUGUUUGUUUGAUGUAAUUUUUUCCAAUUGUAGGUUUUCUGAAUUUAGGGGAAAUGUUGAGUGACCUCAAACACUUCCCAUUUAAUUCCUUUAUCUGAUCUUCUAUUGUUUUCAAUGUUACUAAACUCUGUAUGUAUAUCUCAAAAGCUCCAGCUCGUCAGCUGGCCACCUCUUCAGCUCUGGCUUCUAUUGCAAGUGGAUUGGGUAAGUAUUGGAAUUAGGAGUUAUCUGAAGAUCAGAAUACAGGAUGUGUCAAAAUUUUGUCCAAAUAUAAUGUCUCAACUAGAAAAAGUAUUGUUGUUUAGUUCUUUAAUUAUCCACAAAUAAUCACACAAUUUUGAAUAGAAUUGUUUUCUUUAAUGCACAAUCAUU
This 480-nucleotide long non-coding RNA is filed under the name Androctonus crassicauda. The record is from RNAcentral. Lineage: Eukaryota; Metazoa; Arthropoda; Arachnida; Scorpiones; Buthidae.